Molecule: ribosomal RNA, 496 nt
Filed under: uncultured bacterium
Lineage: Bacteria
Description: partial 16S ribosomal RNA
Rfam family: Bacterial small subunit ribosomal RNA
Source: RNAcentral
GAUGAACGCUGGCGGCGUGCCUAAUACAUGCAAGUCGAGCGAACAGACGAGGAGCUUGCUCCUCUGACGUUAGCGGCGGACGGGUGAGUAACACGUGGAUAACCUACCUAUAAGACUGGGAUAACUUCGGGAAACCGGAGCUAAUACCGGAUAAUAUGUUGAACCGCAUGGUUCAACAGUGAAAGACGGUCUUGCUGUCACUUAUAGAUGGAUCCGCGCUGCAUUAGCUAGUUGGUAAGGUAACGGCUUACCAAGGCAACGAUGCGUAGCCGACCUGAGAGGGUAAUCGGCCACACUGGAACUGAGACACGGUCCAGACUCCAACGGAAGGCAGCAGUAGGGAUUCUUCCGCAAGGGGCGAAAGCCUGACGGGGCAACGCCGCGUGAGUGAAGAAGGUCUUCGGAUCGUAAAACUCUGUUAUUAGGAAAGAACAAAUGUGUAAGUAACUAUGCACGUCUUGACGGUACCUAAGCAGAAGGCCACGGCUAACUACGU